This 24-nucleotide non-coding RNA is filed under the name Mus musculus (house mouse). RNAcentral also lists the same sequence under 1 other name. Lineage: Eukaryota; Metazoa; Chordata; Mammalia; Rodentia; Muridae. The record is from RNAcentral.
UGGAAAUUCCGUUAGGAUGGAGGC